RNAcentral lists this transfer RNA (80 nucleotides) under Cutibacterium granulosum. RNAcentral describes it as "tRNA-Gln". It matches the Rfam family "tRNA". Rfam says of the family: Transfer RNA (tRNA) molecules are approximately 80 nucleotides in length. The record is from RNAcentral. Lineage: Bacteria; Bacillati; Actinomycetota; Actinomycetes; Propionibacteriales; Propionibacteriaceae.
UCCCCGGUUGGUCUAUCGGCAGGGCCCGCCUGACUUUGAAUCAGGAUGAGCGAUGCAGGUUCGACUCCUGCCCGGGGAGC